RNAcentral lists this ribosomal RNA (357 nucleotides) under Triticum aestivum (bread wheat). Its description in RNAcentral is "partial small subunit ribosomal RNA". Lineage: Eukaryota; Viridiplantae; Streptophyta; Magnoliopsida; Poales; Poaceae. The record is from RNAcentral.
AUGAGUGUGGAAAGCGACGACACAGUGUCGACUCAAGUGAUGGGGAAAGUGGACCCACAAGCCGCUGGUUGGACAAAUAGACACCUUGUCCCAGUAGGGUCGGCACACUCCGCUCCACUAAAAUUACAGGAUCGGAUGCCGUGUCCGGGGAGAAUUGGUGCACUGGAGCAAACGAUUCAGGGGUGUGCAGAUAAGUUGGGAAGAUGUCUACGGAUGCUCUGGGAAGCCAAUGUAGUGGCUGAACAAGACUGGGAUCAUGUUUACGAUACAUUUUCCAUCGAUACAGAGGGCAGUGCUUACAAAAAGAGGAGGCAAGCUGAAGAGGAAGGUUGGAAGAAGGAGAGCAACCGUGCGUAG